UUGAUCAUGGCUCAGGACGAACGCUGGCGGCGUGUUUAACACAUGCAAGUCGAACGGUAAGGCCUUUCGGGGUACACGAGUGGCGAACGGGUGAGUAACACGUGGGUGACCCGUUUCCGAGCUCUGGGAUAAGCCUGGGAAACUGGGUCUAAUACCGGAUAUGACCUCUUGUUGCAUGGCGGGGGGUGGAAAGUUUUUCGGCUCGAGAUGGGCCCGCGGCCUAUCAGCUUGUUGGUGGGGUGAUGGCCUACCAAGGCGACGACGGGUAGCCGGCCUGAGAGGGCGACCGGCCACACUGGGACUGAGAUACGGCCCAGACUCCUACGGGAGGCAGCAGUGGGGAAUAUUGCGCAAUGGGCGGAAGCCUGACGCAGCGACGCCGCGUGGGGGAUGACGGCCUUCGGGUUGUAAACCUCUUUCGACCGGGACGAAGGGUGACUGACGGUACCGGUAUAAGAAGCACCGGCCAACUACGUGCCAGCAGCUGCGGUAAUACGUAGGGUGCGAGCGUUGUCCGGAAUUAUUGGGCGUAAAGAGCUCGUAGGCGGUGUGUCGCGUCGAUCGUGAAAACCUGUGGCUUAACUGUGGGCGUGCGGUCGAUACGGGCAUCACUGGAGUUCGGCAGGGGAGACUGGAAUUCCUGGUGUAGCGGUGAAAUGCGCAGAUAUCAGAGGAACACCGGUGGCGAAAGCGGGUCUCUGGGCCGAUACUGACGCUGAGGAGCGAAAGCGUGGGGAGCGAACAGGAUUAGAUACCCUGGUAGUCCACGCCGUAAACGUUGGGCGCUAGGUGUGGGGGAUCAUUCCACGGUCUCUGUGCCGCAGCUAACGCAUUAAGCGCCCCGCCUGGGGAGUACGGCCGCAAGGCUAAAACUCAAAGGAAUUGACGGGGGCCCGCACAAGCGGCGGAGCAUGUGGAUUAAUUCGACGCAACGCGAAGAGCCUUACCUG
This 950-nucleotide ribosomal RNA is filed under the name uncultured bacterium. RNAcentral describes it as "bacterial SSU rRNA". It matches the Rfam family "Bacterial small subunit ribosomal RNA", at positions 13 to 977 of the family's 1533-position model. The record is from RNAcentral.